RNAcentral lists this ribosomal RNA (465 nucleotides) under Vreelandella stevensii. RNAcentral's name for it is "partial 16S ribosomal RNA". It matches the Rfam family "Bacterial small subunit ribosomal RNA", at positions 338 to 795 of the family's 1533-position model. Lineage: Bacteria; Pseudomonadati; Pseudomonadota; Gammaproteobacteria; Oceanospirillales; Halomonadaceae. The record is from RNAcentral.
CCUACGGGGGGCUGCAGUGGGGAAUAUUGGACAAUGGGGGGAACCCUGAUCCAGCCAUGCCGCGUGUGUGAAGAAGGCCCUCGGGUUGUAAAGCACUUUCAGUGAGGAAGAACGCCUGGUGGUUAAUACCCAUCAGGAAAGACAUCACUCACAGAAGAAGCACCGGCUAACUCCGUGCCAGCAGCCGCGGUAAUACGGAGGGUGCGAGCGCUAAUCGGAAUUACUGGGCGUAAAGCGCGCGUAGGUGGCUUGAUAAGCCGGUUGUGAAAGCCCCGGGCUCAACCUGGGAACGGCAUCCGGAACUGUCAAGCUAGAGUGCAGGAGAGGAAGGUAGAAUUCCCGGUGUAGCGGUGAAAUGCGUAGAGAUCGGGAGGAAUACCAGUGGCGAAGGCGGCCUUCUGGACUGACACUGACACUGAGGUGCGAAAGCGUGGGUAGCAAACAGGAUUAGAUACCCGUGUAGUC